CCUACGGGUGGCAGCAGUGAGGAAUAUUGGUCAAUGGACGCAAGUCUGAACCAGCCAUGCCGCGUGCAGGAAGACGGCUCUAUGAGUUGUAAACUGCUUUUGUACGAGGGUAAACGCAGAUACGCGUAUCUGUCUGCACGUAUCGUACGAAUAAGGAUCGGCUAACUCCGUGCCAGCAGCCGCGGUAAUACGGAGGAUUCAAGCGUUAUCCGGAUUUAUUGGGUUUAAAGGGUGCGUAGGCGGUCGGAUAAGUUAGAGGUGAAAUCCCGAGGCUCAACUUCGGAAUUGCCUCUGAUACUGUUCGGCUAGAGAGUAGGUGCGGUAGGCGGAAUGUAUGGUGUAGCGGUGAAAUGCUUAGAGAUCAUACAGAACACCGAUUGCGAAGGCAGCUUACCAAGCUACGUCUGACGUUGAGGCACGAAAGCGUGGGGAGCAAACAGGAUUAGAUACCCCAGUAGUC
Molecule: ribosomal RNA, 460 nt
Filed under: uncultured bacterium
Lineage: Bacteria
Description: partial 16S ribosomal RNA
Rfam family: Bacterial small subunit ribosomal RNA
Source: RNAcentral